GACGAACGCUGGCGGCGUGCUUAACACAUGCAAGUCGAACGGAAAGGCCCUUCGGGGUGCUCGAGUGGCGCACGGGUGAGUAACACGUGGGUGAUCUGCCCUGCACUUUGGGAUAAGCCUGGGAAACUGGGUCUAAUACCGAAUAGGACCACGCGCUUCAUGGUGUGUGGUGGCAAGCUUUUGCGGUGUGGGAUGGGCCCGCGGCCUAUCAGCUUGUUGGUGGGGUUAUGGCGUACCAAGGCGACGACGGGUAGCCGGCCUGAGAGGGUGACCGGCCACACUGGGACUGAGAUACGGCCCAGACUCCUACGGGAGGCAGCGGUGGGGAAUAUUGCACAAUGGGCGCAAGCCUGAUGCAGCGACGCCGCGUGAGGGAUGACGGCCUUCGGGUUGUAAACCUCUUUCAAUAGGGACGAAGCGCAAGUGACGGUACCUAUAGAAGAAGCACCGGCCAACUACGUG
Molecule: ribosomal RNA, 462 nt
Filed under: uncultured bacterium
Lineage: Bacteria
Description: partial 16S ribosomal RNA
Rfam family: Bacterial small subunit ribosomal RNA
Source: RNAcentral